Molecule: transfer RNA, 72 nt
Filed under: Camelus bactrianus (Bactrian camel)
Lineage: Eukaryota; Metazoa; Chordata; Mammalia; Artiodactyla; Camelidae
Also listed under: 2 other names
Rfam family: tRNA
About the family: Transfer RNA (tRNA) molecules are approximately 80 nucleotides in length. Their secondary structure includes four short double-helical elements and three loops (D, anti-codon, and T loops). Further hydrogen bonds mediate the characteristic L-shaped molecular structure. tRNAs have two regions of fundamental functional importance: the anti-codon, which is responsible for specific mRNA codon recognition, and the 3' end, to which the tRNAs corresponding amino acid is attached (by aminoacyl-tRNA synthetases). tRNAs cope with the degeneracy of the genetic code in two manners: having more than one tRNA (with a specific anti-codon) for a particular amino acid; and 'wobble' base-pairing, i.e. permitting non-standard base-pairing at the 3rd anti-codon position.
Source: Rfam by way of RNAcentral
GAAGGUACAGCUGAGGGGUAGAGCGUGUGCUUAGCAUGCAUGAGGUCCUGGGUUCAAUCCCCAGUACCUCCA